RNAcentral lists this long non-coding RNA (157 nucleotides) under Cairina moschata (Muscovy duck). Its description in RNAcentral is "domestica (muscovy Duck (domestic type)) lncRNA (ENSCMMG00000008544.1)". Lineage: Eukaryota; Metazoa; Chordata; Aves; Anseriformes; Anatidae. The record is from RNAcentral.
CACGGCUGCCCGGGUGAGCGUGUCGGCGGUGCGGUGUUUGCCCAGGUGUGCGAGUGACGGUCUGGGGCGGGUGGGAGCAGCUGAGCGCCGCGCAGAGCUGGCUGGCUCUGUGUCAGCUCACCUCCCUCUGCCUGAGACCAUAGGUCUGUGCCUGGAG